AGUGGAUAGCUGGGUCAAAUGGUGGUUCAUUCAAUUUUCUGAGGAAUCUUCAUACUGCUUUCCAGAGUGGUUGCACCAAUUUUCAGUCCCACCAGCAAU
RNAcentral lists this microRNA precursor (99 nucleotides) under Marmota monax (woodchuck). Lineage: Eukaryota; Metazoa; Chordata; Mammalia; Rodentia; Sciuridae. The record is from RNAcentral.